RNAcentral lists this ribosomal RNA (495 nucleotides) under uncultured bacterium. RNAcentral's name for it is "partial 16S ribosomal RNA". It matches the Rfam family "Bacterial small subunit ribosomal RNA", at positions 28 to 507 of the family's 1533-position model. The record is from RNAcentral.
GACGAACGCUGGCGGCGUGCCUAAUACAUGCAAGUCGAACGCUGAAGGAGGAGCUUGCUCUUCUGGAUGAGUUGCGAACGGGUGAGUAACGCGUAGGUAACCUGCCUGGUAGCGGGGGAUAACUAUUGGAAACGAUAGCUAAUACCGCAUAAGAGUAGAUGUUGCAUGACAUUUGCUUAAAAGGUGCAAUUGCAUCACUACCAGAUGGACCUGCGUUGUAUUAGCUAGUUGGUGGGGUAACGGCUCACCAAGGCGACGAUACAUAGCCGACCUGAGAGGGUGAUCGGCCACACUGGGACUGAGACACGGCCCAGACUCCUACGGGAGGCAGCAGUAGGGAAUCUUCGGCAAUGGACGGAAGUCUGACCGAGCAACGCCGCGUGAGUGAAGAAGGGUUUCGGAUCGUAAAGCUCUGUUGUAAGAGAAGAACGAGUGUGAGAGUGGAAAGUUCACACUGUGACGGUAUCUGACCAGAAAGGGACGGCUAACUACGUG